AAAUUGAAGAGUUUGAUCAUGGCUCAGAUUGAACGCUGGCGGCAGGCCUAACACAUGCAAGUCGAACGGUAACAGGAAGCAGCUUGCUGCUUCGCUGACGAGUGGCGGACGGGUGAGUAAUGUCUGGGAAACUGCCUGAUGGAGGGGGAUAACUACUGGAAACGGUAGCUAAUACCGCAUAAUGUCGCAAGACCAAAGAGGGGGACCUUCGGGCCUCUUGCCAUCGGAUGUGCCCAGAUGGGAUUAGCUAGUAGGUGGGGUAACGGCUCACC
Molecule: ribosomal RNA, 272 nt
Filed under: Escherichia coli
Lineage: Bacteria; Pseudomonadati; Pseudomonadota; Gammaproteobacteria; Enterobacterales; Enterobacteriaceae
Also listed under: 1 other name
Description: partial 16S ribosomal RNA
Rfam family: Bacterial small subunit ribosomal RNA
Source: RNAcentral